GGCUCAGAGUGGUUAAUGGAACUGGCUGUAAACCAGUUGGCUACGGCCGUCGGAGGUUCAAGUCCUUCUCA
Molecule: non-coding RNA, 71 nt
Organism: Physocladia obscura
Lineage: Eukaryota; Fungi; Chytridiomycota; Chytridiomycetes; Chytridiales; Chytriomycetaceae
Source: the annotation of a GenBank genome assembly